UACCGGUGGCGAAGGCGACUUUCUGGACUUUUUCUGACGCUGAGGUACGAAAGCGUGGGGAGCAAACAGGAUUAGAUACCCUGGUAGUCCACGCCGUAAAUGGUGAGUGCUAGGUGUCGGGAGUCAAAUCUCGGUGCCGACGUUAACACAUUAAGCACUCCGCCUGGGGAGUACGCACGCAAGUGU
Molecule: ribosomal RNA, 186 nt
Filed under: uncultured bacterium
Lineage: Bacteria
Description: partial 16S ribosomal RNA
Rfam family: Bacterial small subunit ribosomal RNA
Source: RNAcentral